CUGGCAGCAGCAGGGGAUUAUGGAACCAGCUUCAAAUAGCUCCAACGAAUUCCCUCCUCUACCAGAGGGUUCACCGCCUUUGCCCCCUGAUUCUCCUCCACCUCCACCCCCUUUGCCACCUUCUCCAUCCCCACCUCCACCUCCCACAUCUCCAUCGCCACCUCCACCUCCUCCGCCUCUACCAACUCAACUUCCUCCUGCGCCACCUUCAUGCCCUCCUCCACCCUUCAUACCUCAACCACCAGUGCCAACUCAACCGUCACUGCUAUCCCAGCCCAUGCUACCACCCCAAUCAGCAAUACAGUCUUCUCCGCAGUUGGCAUAUCAACCACCUGUACCUCAUGAAUUCCGG
This 352-nucleotide long non-coding RNA is filed under the name Gossypium barbadense (sea-island cotton). RNAcentral describes it as "long non-coding RNA (GBAR_LNC009227)". Lineage: Eukaryota; Viridiplantae; Streptophyta; Magnoliopsida; Malvales; Malvaceae. The record is from RNAcentral.